AAUGAGAUGAUCUCAUUCUAUGUUCAUGAGGAGGCUCGAAUCAAGAAGGAAAAAGAGGCCAAUACCUCACACCUCACCACCAAUGCCCACAAACAACAUCACUUUAAGCCAAGUUCCCAUGUUGUUGCCAAUAAGGACAACACCAAGGCUAAUCCUCCUCCUAAAAGUUAUAACCCUUUAAAUUCCAACAAAACAACCACAUUUAAGUGUUACUUUUGUGACAAGGCAGGCCACCGAAAGAGAGAUUGCACUAGGUAUAAACGUUGGGUACGUAGAACAAAAGGGAACUAAAGGAUUUCUUAAGCCAGAGGAAACCAAGUACAGACCAAGACGAUGUCUUCAUAGGGAAUGGCAAUAAAGUUCCAUUUCAUGCAUUACGAUCAAUUAGGCUUUAACUAGUUUCAGGUUUUUCUUUAGUUUUGAAAGAUAUUGCUAUGUACCUUCUAUGCGAAGGAGUUUGAUUUUAGUUUCUAGAUUAACUGGGGAACAUUUCAUUUUAAUUUUUUCUAAGAUAGGAUUUUAUUUGAUUUUCAGUGAAAGUUCACUAGGCAGUGGCUCUUUGAUUGA
Long non-coding RNA from Prunus dulcis (almond), 567 nucleotides. RefSeq lists it as uncharacterized. Lineage: Eukaryota; Viridiplantae; Streptophyta; Magnoliopsida; Rosales; Rosaceae. The record is from RefSeq and is a predicted model, not a curated record. The transcript has 2 exons.